GUCCUUGCCGUAAACUAUGUAUACUUGGUGUAACUGGACUCAACCCUAGUUGUGCCGUAGCUAACGCGAUAAGUAUACCGCCUGGGGAGUACGCUCGCAAGGGUGAAACUCAAAAGAAUUGACGGGGACCCCGCACAAGCAGUGGAGCAUGUGGUUUAAUUCGAUGCAACGCGAAGAACCUUACCCAGGCUUGACAUGCAGAUGACCGCUCUAGAGAUAGAGCUUUCCUUCGGGACAUCUGCACAGGUGCUGCAUGGCUGUCGU
Molecule: ribosomal RNA, 264 nt
Filed under: uncultured bacterium
Lineage: Bacteria
Description: partial 16S ribosomal RNA
Rfam family: Bacterial small subunit ribosomal RNA
Source: RNAcentral